Molecule: transfer RNA, 69 nt
Filed under: Plica plica (tree runner)
Lineage: Eukaryota; Metazoa; Chordata; Lepidosauria; Squamata; Tropiduridae
Description: tRNA-Trp
Source: RNAcentral
AGAAACUUAGGAUAAAAUAAACCAAGGACCUUCAAAGUCCUAAAUAGGGGCACCCCCCCCUAGUUUCUG